GUGGGGGAUAUUGGUCAAUGGGGGAAACCCUGAACCAGCAAUGCCGCGUGAGGGAAGAAGGUCUUCGGAUUGUAAACCUAAGUAGUCAGGGACGAAAAAAAUGACGGUACCUGAAGAGUAAGCUCCGGCUAACUACGUGCCAGCAGCCGCGGUAAUACGUAGGGAGCGAGCGUUGUCCGGAUUUACUGGGUGUAAAGGGUGCGUAGGCGGGUCGGCAAGUCAGAUGUGAAAUACCGGGGCUUAACCCCGGGGCUGCAUUUGAAACUGUUGAUCUUGAGUGAAGUAGAGGCAGGCGGAAUUCCUAGUGUAGCGGUGGAAUGCGUAGAUAUUAGGAGGAACACCAGUGGCGAAGGCGGCCUGCUGGGCUUUAACUGACGCUGAUGCACGAAAGCAUGGGGAGCAAACAGGA
Molecule: ribosomal RNA, 409 nt
Filed under: uncultured bacterium
Lineage: Bacteria
Description: bacterial SSU rRNA
Rfam family: Bacterial small subunit ribosomal RNA
Source: RNAcentral